CCUACGGGCGGCAGCAGUGAGGAAUAUUGGACAAUGGGCGCGAGCCUGAACCAGCCAAGUAGCGUGAAGGAUGACUGCCCUACGGGUUGUAAACUUCUGUUAUAAAGGAAUAAAGUGAGGCACGUGUGCCUUUUGGGAUGUACUUUAUGAAUAAGGAUCGGCUAACUCCGUGCCAGCAGCCGCGGUAAUACGGAGGCGCCGAGCGUUAUCCGGAUUUAUUGGGUUUAAAGGGAGCGUAGAUGGGUUGUUAAGUCAGUUGUGAAAGUUGGGGGCUCAACCGUAAAAUUGCAAUUGAUACUGGGAGUCUUGAGUACAGGUGAGGUAGGCGGAAUUCGUGGUGUAGCGGUGAAAUGCGUAGAUAUCACGAAGAACACCGAUUGCGAAGGCAGCUUCCUAGACUGCAACUGACAUUGAUGCUCGAAAGUGUGGGUAGCAAACAGGAUUAGAUACCCCAGUAGUC
This 460-nucleotide ribosomal RNA is filed under the name uncultured bacterium. Its description in RNAcentral is "partial 16S ribosomal RNA". It matches the Rfam family "Bacterial small subunit ribosomal RNA", at positions 338 to 795 of the family's 1533-position model. The record is from RNAcentral.